Molecule: long non-coding RNA, 7785 nt
Filed under: Citrus sinensis (sweet orange)
Lineage: Eukaryota; Viridiplantae; Streptophyta; Magnoliopsida; Sapindales; Rutaceae
Description: long non-coding RNA (CSIN_LNC002796)
Source: RNAcentral
GAUGGGAAAACCUUCAAGAAGCCAAGACGUCCCUAUGAGAAGGAGCGAUUGGAUGCUGAGUUGAGACUUGUGGGAGAGUAUGGGCUUCGCUGCAAGAGGGAACUCUGGAGGGUUCAAUACGCACUGAGCCGCAUCCGAAAUGCUGCGAGGGAUCUUCUCACUCUCGAUGAGAAGAACCCACGACGUAUUUUUGAGGGUGAGGCCCUUCUCAGGAGGAUGCACAGGUAUGGCUUCUUGGAAGAGAGCCAGAACAAGCUUGAUUAUGUGUUGGCCCUCACUGUGGAGAACUUUCUUGAGCGUCGUCUUCAGACCCUUGUGUUCAAGAGUGGCAUGGCUAAGUCAAUUCACCAUGCUCGAGUGCUCAUCAGGCAGAGGCACAUUAGGUAUAAUUUAUGCACUGUGUUUCCUUUUAGUUCAUAUCUGCUUUUUUCAGUGUCUGUAAAAUCUUCAAAUGCUUUUUCACAUUUGUUUCUUUUCUAUUAUUCUAACAUUUGACCAACAUGAAUUUAAAUUGCUUGUUCCAUCUCGAUGUCUAUUACUGAGUUUGUUGGUUUUAACCAUUACUUACUGAUCUUUAAUUAUUUGAUUAUUUUCUAGUUGCCUUUGGGUUGUUUAGCUGACAUUUGCUUUUGGCUUUAAAUUUUGUAAAAUUAUCUUGAGUUUGUGAAUUGUGUUUUUAUACACGUUCAGGUUAUAAUUAUAAUAUUUGAAACUUGCCCACUAAUUGAUAAUUGUAGUGUCAUAAUAUAUGUAAUGAUUCUAGCAUGUAUGGUUUACCAGUAUUGUGGACGAUCUUUUGGAUAUUAUAAUGUUUAGCAAGUUUGAUUGUACUUGAGUUUACCUUUGUAUUCUUGGGGCAUUAAUAUGCCCUGCAUGCACUACCCAGCAAAUGCUUUUGGCUCUGUUAAUCGGUGUAUUCAAAUUCUGUCACAGCUAACAUCAGGACUGCUUUUGGUUUUUUUUCAUAAAAUGUGUUGUGCUUUUUUAUCUAUUUGAUUACUUUUAACGUUGCUAUGCCCUGUCCCUUUGAGUCGACUGUUUCUCUUUGAAUGUAUGAAGUAAUGAUACGUUGUUCUUGUUUUACAAGGUUUAUUCGAGCUGGGUUGCUUUGAUGUUCUAACCUUAAUGUUUUAGUAAGAUUGUUUUGAGGUCUUUAAGCGUGGUUAUUUUGUAUAUUAAGGAAUAUCUAUAUUUCUGAUUAUCAGGGUUGGAAGGCAGCUUGUCAACAUUCCCUCAUUUGUAGUGAGGGUUGAUUCCCAGAAGCACAUUGAAUUCUCACUCACAAGUCCAUUUGGAGGCGGGCGCCCCGGAAGAGUGAAGAGAAGGAACAUUAAGGCUGCUGCCAAGAAGGCCGCAGGUGGAGAUGGAGAUGAAGAGGAUGAAGAAUAAAUUACCUUGUGUGAGCAGAUAGUUUUUUUAUGGUUACAGUAGGAACUCUGGCUGAACUUUGCAAAUCGACUUAUCUUCUCUUAAGUUUUAUGUUUUUGCUAAUUUUCUUCCUAUAAUAGGAGGUUUUGCUUGCUUUGUGCUUUACAGACUACUCAUUGAGAGAAUUGUUUUUGUUUUUUGGGAUGUACUCUUUGAUCCUUAAGCUUUUUUAUGCCUAAAUUAAAUCUCCGUGUAGUUAGCUUUUUUGUGCGCAUAUAUAUAUAUUAGAUUUAAUGGAAAAUUGUCGCUACUGCAAUGGCAUACCGAUGCGAUUGAAGCGUGCUUUUGUUAUAGAUGUGAUGUGUGUCAAAAAAUUUGUGCUCCUGGAGAGUUUCAUCUAUCAAGAAUAAGCUUGGGCUUGGGCUUUAGAUGGGUUUGUCAUUAGCUCUCUCAUUGGGCUUGUGCUUGGGCUUUUUCACACAAGAUUAGAAUCGUUGACGGUCCUCGCGCACACGUGUGAAAAGCGUAGCAUAAUCAAUGGAAAUUAGUAGCAUAAUCAAUGGAAAUUAGAAUGAGGAUAGGUUGGAAUGAGAAAGAAAUUUUAAUGUUUAUUUGAUAAAAAUAAAUGAGAAUGAAAAUUAGAAUGAGAAUGAGCUGGAUUAGAGAUGAAAUUUUAAUGUUUAUUUGACAAAAAUAAAUGAGAAUGAGAAUGUGUUGGAAUGAUGUGUUUAUUUAGUAAAAUAAAUAGGAACGAGGUGAUAAUGAAAAUUAAUUUAUUAAAAUAUUUAUAGUAUUAAUAAUUAAUUUAUCAUUAUUAAUAAUAUUAUCAUUGUUAUUAUUAUUAUUAUUAACAAUAAUUAAUAAUAACUAAAAUAAUAAAGUUAAUAAAAUUUAAUUUUAAUAUUAUCAUUAUUAUUUUUAUUUUUAUUAUUUUUAUUAUUUUUAUUUUUAUUAUUGUUAUUAAAUUUUAUUAACUUUAUUAUUUUAGUUAUUAUUAAUUAUUGUUAAUAUUAUUUUUAUUAAUAUUAUCAUUAUUAACAAUAAAAAUAAUGAUAANNNNNNNNNNNNNNNNNNNNNNNNNNNNNNNNNNNNNNNNNNNNNNNNNNNNNNNNNNNNNNNNNNNNNNNNNNNNNNNNNNNNNNNNNNNNNNNNNNNNNNNNNNNNNNNNNNNNNNNNNNNNNNNNNNNNNNNNNNNNNNNNNNNNNNNNNNNNNNNNNNNNNNNNNNNNNNNNNNNNNNNNNNNNNNNNNNNNNNNNNNNNNNNNNNNNNNNNNNNNNNNNNNNGUACGGUACAGCAGCAAUAAUUAAUAAUAACUAAAAAAUAAAAAAUAAUAAUAAUAAAUGUUAAUAAUGAUAAUAUUAAAAAUAAUAAUAAUAAUAAUAAUAAUAAUAAUAAUAACAACAACAAUAAUAAUUAAAAUAAUAAUAAUAUUGUUAAUAAUGAUAAAUUAAUUAUUUUUUAGUCUCAAAUUAUAUGGGACCCAUAUAUUUUAUUCACAUUCACAAAUUACAUUUUAUCAAGUAAACAUGAGUUAUAUUCUCAUUCCCUAAACCCUCAAAUAAACACAUUAUUAAUAUUCUUUUAAAAUCUCAGUUUGUAAAAUUAUGUCAAAGCAUAAAUAUAAAUUUAAUUGAACUAGAACUUAAUAUAACUUAAUAUAUGAUAUAGUUACUUUAUAUAAAAAUUUUGAAUAAUUAAGAAAUAAAUUACUUAAUAAUAAAAUUUUUUAUCAUGAAACAGUAUGUUUACUAUUGUUUAAUUUAUUCUAAAUGAUAGUAAGAUUAACUAAAUUUCUAUUGUAAUUUUUUGCUCUUUUUUGUAAUUUUACCUAAGAAAAUUUUUUGCUCUUUAUAAGAAUUUUAAAGGAGUGUUAGAAGCUCCCCGCUCAUUAUUUUAAAUUUUGUCAAAUAUUUGAUCCAACUUGUAGUCUGUUUUGGAGUGUGGUGAGGUAGAUAGACUUUAAAAGUGUUUGGUAAUACUUGUAGUUGGGCUUUAGCAGCUUAGCAAUUUUUUUUUCCCAACUUAUUCCACAGUUAUAAUUGUUACUCCACAUCAACUACAGGUUAAAAGUUACAGCAUCUUACUCCCAAACAUACCCUUGUUCUGUUAGAACUUGAGGUUGCUUCCGUAUUCAACAAAUGUGGGGGCGGCAGAAGACUCGCUUUUAUUAUAUUAGGGCUUGGUAAGAUGCACAAAACUUAAAGCCUAAAAGUUAUUUUUAUAACUUUAAAAAUAGUUUUAUUGAUUCAACUUUUUAAAUGCUACUCUUAGGAUAAUAUAUAAUACAUUAUAAAAUUAUAAUGUAGGAAAAAGUCUGUUUUACCCUCGGGUAUGAUAAAAUAGUUCAUUUCUUUUCUAUUAUUCAAACAAUAAUUCAACAUAUCCUUUUGUGAAUUUAUAGUUAAUUUAAUUUAUAAUUCAUUAAACGCAAAAUAAGAUUGAAUAAAUUCAAAUUAUUUUAAAAUAAAAAUAUAAAAGGUAAUUAAAUAAAAUCUAACUUUAUACAUAGAUCUAAAAUUAGUUUAAGAAUAAUUUAAUGAAACAAAAAUAACACUAAAGAAUAUGCAACAUUUGUGUGUGAGUGUGUGCAAUAUAUAUGGGUAUGUGUGUUUUUUCAAUGAAGUCAAAUAAAUUUUUGAACAAAUAAUAACAAUAAUAUUUCAAUCAAGUAUUACUAUUCACAUUAAGGUUAGAAAUAAACUAAAAAUUUUUUUUAAAAAGUAUCCAUACUAACAGUUAAUUAACGAAAGGCAUUUUUAAAAUAUUAUUUAAAAAAUAAAAAUCAGAUAAAUUAUUACAUCAAACCUUAAUGGUGAAAAAGGCAUUCUUCCUUGCAAUGCACCAUAGCAGCCCCCAGUCGGCCAUUCAUUAUUUCCUUAAAGACCGUACCUAAAAAUUACAUUGAAAACACGGGGCUGCUUCUGAAUGUUGUAAGCUUAUCUCAACAUGUUCACUGCCUUUUAUCAAUCUGCCUAUAAAAAUACUGAUCUGAUCGAAUGUCCAAUCAAUUGAGAAAAUUAAGGCUUAAAGUCAGUCAUGAUCCUCUUGACAUCAGUAGUGUAAGAUGUCAUGGAAUGUCAGCUUCACAAUUACUGGCUUUGCCUAAUUAUUGUGGCGAAAAUGAUCUAUUUCUUCAUAAUCACACCGUGCAAUGCAUCCAUUUUUUGGGCUAAGUCAUAUGAAUUUUCCAAAGUCUUUAUGUAUGUUUGGCGGUAAGUAAACUUAGAUGGGUGGGGGAUUUCUUUUUAAUUAAGUUUUCUCUCCUUCAAUUUGGUGUGAAGGUAUCUUGUAGGCCUUAUGAGAUCUAUGGUGAGCUAAAGUUAGAUAUACAUACGGGCUUUAUAAUCGCCUUUGCUUGUUGGUUCCCUUUUUAUUGGCAUCUCAAUUUAAACACUACCAGAUUUGAUAUUUGGAAAAGUCCUAAUGUAUUACAUGAAUAAUGAAAUAGUGAAAUGUGAUACAACAUUUUUUUUUAACCUAAACAUAAGUCCCAUUGAAAAAACAUAACAUUACAAUGGUAUAUUGUCAUGAUACAUUCAACGUAGGAAAACAAACAUAAAUAUCUAUUAUCGUUAAACAUAUUGACAAUCAAGAAGAAAAAAAUACAUUUAAGAUAGUAAAGAAUACUUUCAUGUAUUAAAAAAAAAAUUAUGUGUUCACAUCUAUUGAACCUGUAUUAUUUGAGCUCUUUCAUAUAAUUCUUUUUGUACAUAUAUAGCUUGUUAUCCCCACUUAUUUGAUGCAUGAAACUUGUAGAUCUAUUCUCAUAAGCUGAUCAAAGGUACCCUUAGAAUGUAGCUAUAACUUUGAAGAAUGAAAGGGUAUUCCACUCAUUUCAUUAGGGAUAUAGACCUAUUUGAUAUAAAUGGACAAAUUGUGUCCUUUCUUGGAAAGUAUUAGCAAAUCAGAAACCCAGUUGUUAUUUUGAAAAAUAACAAUUAUUGAUCCUCAAAACACAUGAAUUGUUGAACCAAAAUCAAUUUAAGUGCGCUUAAUGCAACGACAACGACAAUAAUAUGAAUUGUUGGUUAUAUUCCAUUACAUGCUUAAUGUGUGAACUGUUGGUUGUUAUUUCUUGUGCAAGUCAUGUAACAUAUUAUAGUAAUGAAUCUCUAGCAUAUAAAAAUAAGAGUAAAAAGGAAAUGAAUAAAAGCCUAGCACAAAAAGUUAAAAGAAAAAAAGGAAAAGAAAAAAAAAAUCUUAUCUUAUUGAAUAUCACCUUCCAAACGCUAAAUUUAAUUUUGAGAUUAUGGAGGAAAUUAAACAUAUAUAACAUACAAGUAAUAGCCAUGCUCGUGAUGAUCUAUUAAUAAUAUCACUAAAAUAAAUAAAUAAAUAUUACAAACGGGCGCAUUAAAAUGUUAUGAAAUGGGCCAGCGAUUUUUCACGAAAGCCCAUUGACAUUAAUAGCUCAAGCAACUAGGGUUAGGGUUUUGCAAAAUCAUAUAUAUGUAUAUAAUAGCAGUCGUUAUAAGAAGACACGGCCUCUUUACGCCAUUUGCUUAGGCUUUUUCGAAGAUCGCAGAGAGAGAGUGAGGGUAGCACCAGCGGCGCGCAAAGAUGGUGCACGUUUCAUUCUACCGCAACUGUAUGUGCUUUUGUUCAUAAUUGUUCUCUUUGUUAAAUAAUAAUAAAAUACUUUGUAUAUGAUACUUGUUUCACUUUGAUACCGUCUCGAUCUCGUUUGUCAGUGUUGUGUAAUAUUAUUGUUUGGAUCCAAAGAACGUGAAGGAAACUUGAGACCUUUUUGUAUGUACUAUCUGAUCCAAAUAUCGGUAAUUGAGCAUCUGUUUUUUUAGGUUUAGCCAGUAGAAUGUUUGGUAGCCGGUAUUAUAUUUGUGUGCAGAUGAAGUCGGGAAUUGUUUAAAGCUCAUUAUAGUACUCUUCUAUGACGUAUUAAUUGUUGAUGGUUACCGGUUCUUGUGAUAUUUGAGCUUAUGAUUGAUUAUGAAUCGAUGUGUGAACAGAUGGGAAAACCUUCAAGAAGCCAAGACGUCCCUAUGAGAAGGAGCGAUUGGAUGCUGAGUUGAGACUUGUGGGAGAGUAUGGGCUUCGCUGCAAGAGGGAACUCUGGAGGGUUCAAUAUGCACUGAGCCGCAUCCGAAAUGCUGCGAGGGAUCUUCUCACUCUCGAUGAGAAGAACCCACGUCGUAUUUUCGAGGGUGAGGCUCUUCUCAGGAGGAUGCACAGGUACGGCUUCUUGGAAGAGAGCCAGAACAAGCUUGAUUAUGUGUUGGCCCUCACUGUGGAGAACUUUCUUGAGCGUCGUCUCCAGACCCUUGUGUUCAAGAGUGGCAUGGCUAAGUCAAUUCACCAUGCUCGAGUGCUCAUCAGGCAGAGGCACAUUAGGUAUAAUUUAUGCACUGUGUCUCCUUUUAGUCCGUAUCUGCUUUUUUCAGUGUCUGUAAAAUCUUCAAAUGCUUUUUCUCAUUUGUUUCUUUUCUAUUAUGCUAACAUUUGACCAACAUGAAUUUAAAUUGCUUGUUCCAUCUGGAUGCCUAUUACUGAGUUUGUUGGUUUUAACCAUUACUUACUGAUCUUUAAUUAUUUGAUUAUUUUCUAGUUGCCUUUGGGUUGUUAAGCUGACAUUUGGUUUUUGGCUUUAAAAUUUGUUAAAUUAUCUCGAGUUUGUGAAUUGUGUUUUUAUACACGUUCAGGUUAUAAUUAUAAUAUUUGAAACUUGCCCACUAAUUGAUAAUUGUAGUGUCAUAAUAUAUGUAAUGAUUCUAGCAUGUAUGGUUUACCAGUAUUGUGGAUGAUCUUUUGGAUAUUAUAAUGUUUAGCAAGUUUGAUUGUUUACCUUUUUAUUCUUGGGGCAUUAAUAUGCCGUGCAUGCACUACCCAAAAUGCUUUUGGCUUUGUUAAUUGGUGUAUUCAAAUUCUGUCACUGCUGACAUCAGGACUGCUUUUGGUUUUUUUCAUAAAAUUUGUUGCGUUUUUUUAUCUAUUUGAUUGCUUUAAUGUUGCUAGGCCCUGUCCCUUUGAGUCGUCUUAUUUGAUUUUGUCUUUGUCAAGAUCUUAUUUUUUCAAUUUGUGACAAGGAAGUUAAAACUUUUUUUUUUUUUCUGUUGGUCAAUUAGCCGACUGUUUCUCUGUGAAUGUAUACAGUAAUGAUAUGUUCUUUUUUCUCAAAGCUUAUUUGAGCUGGGUUGCUUUGAUGUUCUAACCUUAAUGUUUUAGUAAGAUUGUUUUGAGGUCUUUAAGCGUGGUUAUUUUGUAUAUUAAUGAAUAUCUAUAUUUCUGAUUAUCAGGGUUGGAAGGCAGCUUGUCAACAUUCCCUCAUUUGUAGUGAGGGUUGAUUCCCAGAAGCACAUUGAAUUCUCACUGACAAGUCCAUUCGGAGGUGGCCGCCCUGGAAGAGUGAAGAGAAGGAACAUCAAGGCUGCUGCCAAGAAGGCCGCAGGUGGAGAUGGAGAU